Molecule: ribosomal RNA, 134 nt
Filed under: Escherichia coli
Lineage: Bacteria; Pseudomonadati; Pseudomonadota; Gammaproteobacteria; Enterobacterales; Enterobacteriaceae
Also listed under: 19 other names
Description: partial 16S ribosomal RNA
Rfam family: Bacterial small subunit ribosomal RNA
Source: RNAcentral
AAAUUGAAGAGUUUGAUCAUGGCUCAGAUUGAACGCUGGCGGCAGGCCUAACACAUGCAAGUCGAACGGUAACAGGAAGCAGCUUGCUGCUUUGCUGACGAGUGGCGGACGGGUGAGUAAUGUCUGGGAAACUG